Molecule: non-coding RNA, 214 nt
Organism: Caenorhabditis elegans
Lineage: Eukaryota; Metazoa; Nematoda; Chromadorea; Rhabditida; Rhabditidae
Source: Ensembl
GACUAAAUUUCGCAACGGACGAUGCAAAAAAAAGUGUGAAAUGUUUGAGCUCCCAUCGAGCAAGGGGAGCCCUCACCUUUUUUUUCCGGUGCCCGCGUCUCUUGCGAAGUGUGUAUUAUCAAGAAAUAGUGGUCGGAGAAUGAGAAUUUAGAGUUUGGUCGCAACUUUUUUUGCAUGUGAUGACGAGACCAUUCAUUCAGAAAAUUGGAACGGC